RNAcentral lists this ribosomal RNA (192 nucleotides) under unidentified. RNAcentral's name for it is "partial 16S ribosomal RNA". It matches the Rfam family "Bacterial small subunit ribosomal RNA", at positions 132 to 338 of the family's 1533-position model. The record is from RNAcentral.
UGGAGUGGGGGAUAACUGAGGGAAACCUUAGCUAAUACCGCAUAAUACCUACGGGUCAAAGGAGCAAUUCGCUUUGGGAGGGGGUCGCGGCCGAUUAGUUAGUUGGCGGGGUAAUGGCCCACCAAGACAGUGAUCGGUAUCCGGCCUGAGAGGGCGCACGGACACACUGGAACUGAAACACGGUCCAGACUC